UUUUAAUGAGAGUUUGAUCCUGGCUCAGGACGAACGCUGGCGGCGUGCCUAAUACAUGCAAGUAGAACGCUGAAGGAGGAGCUUGCUUCUCUGGAUGAGUUGCGAACGGGUGAGUAACGCGUAGGUAACCUGCCUGGUAGCGGGGGAUAACUAUUGGAAACGAUAGCUAAUACCGCAUAAGAGUGGAUGUUGCAUGACAUUUGCUUAAAAGGUGCACUUGCAUCACUACCAGAUGGACCUGCGUUGUAUUAGCUAGUUGGUGGGGUAAGGGCUCACCAAGGCGACGAUACAUAGCCGACCUGAGAGGGUGAUCGGCCACACUGGGACUGAGACACGGCCCAGACUCCUACGGGAGGCAGCAGUAGGGAAUCUUCGGCAAUGGACGGAAGUCUGACCGAGCAACGCCGCGUGAGUGAAGAAGGUUUUCGGAUCGUAAAGCUCUGUUGUAAGAGAAGAAUGAGUGUGAGAGUGGAAAGUUCACACUGUGACGGUAUCUUACCAG
This 502-nucleotide ribosomal RNA is filed under the name Streptococcus pneumoniae. RNAcentral's name for it is "bacterial SSU rRNA". It matches the Rfam family "Bacterial small subunit ribosomal RNA", at positions 1 to 486 of the family's 1533-position model. Lineage: Bacteria; Bacillati; Bacillota; Bacilli; Lactobacillales; Streptococcaceae. The record is from RNAcentral.